This 248-nucleotide long non-coding RNA is filed under the name Elaeis guineensis (African oil palm). RNAcentral describes it as "long non-coding RNA (EGUI_LNC004545)". The record is from RNAcentral. Lineage: Eukaryota; Viridiplantae; Streptophyta; Magnoliopsida; Arecales; Arecaceae.
UAUCCAAUUCAUUUUCAACCCUAUUUCAUGGUGAUAAUACAUUAAUGUUGGUUAUAGUAUUGUAAUUAAAUGAAGGUAGUUAAUAAUUUACCUUGUUUCUAUUUAUAGCUCAUAUUUUUUUUUCUUUUUCUGAUGUAAUAUUUAUAACCCACCAUCUUAUGGGCAAAAUAUGCUAUGGUGAAACAUAAUGAGCCAAACUAACAUGUAAUUGAAUACAUUUUCUUCGUAGACAAUGGGAUACCUUGUGG